Molecule: long non-coding RNA, 327 nt
Organism: Coregonus clupeaformis (lake whitefish)
Lineage: Eukaryota; Metazoa; Chordata; Actinopteri; Salmoniformes; Salmonidae
Exons: 3
Source: RefSeq, a predicted model, not a curated record
GGGGAGAAUAACAUUUUGUUGGAAAAUGGAAACCAAGCUAACUAGCUACCUACCAAAGUUGUCCAAUGGAUACACUUCCCCUACCCAUGGUGCUGGGAUAGGCUGCAUUGGGACGAGGAUGCAUCAACACCGUGGAAAGAGGUUUUUUUGCACACUCACUCAUAACACUUUAUUUGUGAUAAAUGAGUGUAUCGUCCUCAAGCUUGAUAAGAAGCAAUCAGUUAUGGCAAAAAGAGAGAUUGAGGCCUUCAAUCGAACUGAGGACAGAGAAAUGUGUCCGCCAGAUCAAGGCUUCUUUUUUCUUUUGUUUUUAGGGGGUAGAUCAGC